This is a non-coding RNA of Erpetoichthys calabaricus (reedfish), 541 nucleotides long. The record is from the annotation of a RefSeq genome assembly. Lineage: Eukaryota; Metazoa; Chordata; Cladistia; Polypteriformes; Polypteridae.
AUGCUUUACUUCAGAAGAGCACCUGGUACCAGAAAUGAAAGAUCAGAUCUAAAGAUGAAAUUCUUGUGGUGUCUUAUUACAUACAUUGGUCUGACUCUGCAGGACAAUGUCGCUCAGUUUCCAAGCAUUAUCUCAGAAAGUCAAGGUGGUGAGACAACUUUAAAGUGCACUUACGAAUACACUGGUAGCUCAGCUACAGUUUAUCUCCAGUGGUACAAACAAAGUUUACCUGGAGUCCCUCAGUAUAUAAUACAGCGUUACAGCAGUGGCCAGGACAGUACUGAAUUAAAAGAAAAAGACAUUGGAACUCGUUUCUCAACAUCUCUUGACACAUCUCUCAAGAAUACAUCUUUAACAAUCAAACAAUUGGUGCUAAGUGAUUCAGGAAUGUAUUAUUGUGCUCUGAGGCCCACAGCUGUGCAACUUUAUGUUAAUGCUUUAUCAUAACCAUAUACAGUUCCACCCAUUUUAUAUUAACAGUGUUUGUACAGUAUGUUGUCAAAACUAAUUAUGACUAACCUUUUUAUGUAGUUAGUGUUUG